Molecule: ribosomal RNA, 460 nt
Filed under: uncultured bacterium
Lineage: Bacteria
Description: partial 16S ribosomal RNA
Rfam family: Bacterial small subunit ribosomal RNA
Source: RNAcentral
CCUACGGGUGGCAGCAGUGAGGAAUAUUUGUCAAUGGCCGGAAGGCUGAACCAGCCAUGCCGCGUGAAGGUCAGUGCCCUAUGGGCGUUAAACUUCUUUUGUGCGGGAGCAAUAAUGGUCACGUGUGGCCAGACGAGAGUACCGUACGAAUAAGCAUCGUCUAACUCCGUGCCAGCAGCCGCGGUAAUAAGGGGGAUGCAAGCGUUAUCCGGAUUUAUUGGGUUUAAAGGGUGCGUAGGCUGGGAGGUAAGUCAGCGGUGAAAUGCCCCCGCUCAACGGGGUGAAGUGCCAUUGAUACUGCCUGGCUGGAAUGCGGAUGCCGUGGGAGGAAUGUGUGGUGUAGCGGUGAAAUGCAUAGAUAUCACACAGAACACCGAUUGCGAAGGCAUCUCACGAAUCCGCGAUUGACGCUGAUGCACGAAAGCGUGGGUAUCAAACAGGAUUAGAUACCCUAGUAGUC